GAUGAACGCUAGCUACAGGCUUAACACAUGCAAGUCGCGGGGCAGCAUGGGGGUUGCUUGCAAUCCCCGAUGGCGACCGGCGCACGGGUGAGUAACGCGUAUCCAACCUGCCCUUCACCACGGGAUAACCCGGCGAAAGUCGGACUAAUACCGUAUGUUGUCCAUUGACGGCAUCCGAUUUGGACGAAAGGUUUGGCGGUGAAGGAUGGGGAUGCGUCCGAUUAGCUGGACGGCGGGGUGACGGCCCACCGUGGCGACGAUCGGUAGGGGUUCUGAGAGGAAGGUCCCCCACACUGGAACUGAGACACGGUCCAGACUCCUACGGGAGGCAGCAGUGAGGAAUAUUGAUCAAUGGGCGUAAGCCUGAACCAGCCAAGUAGCGUGCAGGAUGACGGCCCUAUGGGUUGUAAACUGCUUUUAUGCGGGGAUAAAGUGGCCCACGUGUGGGUUUUUGCAGGUACCGCAUGAAUAAGGACCGGCUAAUUCCAUG
RNAcentral lists this ribosomal RNA (490 nucleotides) under uncultured bacterium. Its description in RNAcentral is "partial 16S ribosomal RNA". It matches the Rfam family "Bacterial small subunit ribosomal RNA", at positions 28 to 507 of the family's 1533-position model. The record is from RNAcentral.